AGAUGUGUUAGCGACACCUCGGUUGAACUGGCCUUAACGCACCAGCCUAAGACAUCGCCAUCGACACCAGGCACAUCCUCACUUCGGAACUCAUCUGCGACGACGAGAAUCCUAGCAGCGUCCAGGAUACAGUUCGAGGUAAGAUUUGCGUUAUCAUUCUUCUUCGUUUCUUUUAACCUUUUUUUCCGCUACGUAAAUUUAUUUAGUCUUUCUG
Penaeus chinensis is the source of this 214-nucleotide long non-coding RNA. RefSeq lists it as uncharacterized. The record is from RefSeq and is a predicted model, not a curated record. The transcript is spliced from 3 exons. NCBI's taxonomy places the organism in Eukaryota, Metazoa, Arthropoda, Malacostraca, Decapoda, Penaeidae.